Molecule: ribosomal RNA, 361 nt
Filed under: uncultured bacterium
Lineage: Bacteria
Description: bacterial SSU rRNA
Rfam family: Bacterial small subunit ribosomal RNA
Source: RNAcentral
GACGAACGCUGGCGGCGUGCUUAACACAUGCAAGUCGAGCGGUAAGGCCCUUCGGGUACGACGAGCGGCGAACGGGUGAGUAACACGUGGGUGACCUGCCCUCAGCUCUGGGAUAAGCCUGGGAAACCGGGUCUAAUACCGGAUAUGACUCCAUGACGCAUGUUGUGGGGUGGAAAGCCUUGUGCGGCUGAGGAUGGGCCCGCGGCCUAUCAGCUUGUUGGUGGGGNGAUGGCCUACCAAGGCGACGGCGGGUAGCCGGCCUGAGAGGGCGACCGGCCACACUGGGACUGAGACACCGGCCCAGACUCCUACGGGAGGCAGCAGUGGGGAAUCUUGCGCAAUGGGCGAAAGCCUGACGCAG